RNAcentral lists this ribosomal RNA (467 nucleotides) under uncultured bacterium. RNAcentral's name for it is "partial 16S ribosomal RNA". It matches the Rfam family "Bacterial small subunit ribosomal RNA", at positions 28 to 507 of the family's 1533-position model. The record is from RNAcentral.
GACGAACGCUGGCGGCGUGCUUAACACAUGCAAGUCGAACGGACAGGCCUCUUUCUGGGUGUACUCGCGUGGCGAACGGGUGAGUAACACGUGCGUACCCUGCCCUUGUCUUUGGGAUAACUUCAGUCAACUGGGGCUAAUACCGGCUAGGAGCUCCUGCUGCCUGGUGGGGGUUGGAAAGUUUCGGCGUUUGGGGAUUGCCUCGCGGCGUAUCGGCUUGUUGUUGGGGUGGUGGCUUACCAAGGCCUUGCCGGGUAGCCGGCCUGUGACGGUGACCGGCCACAUUGGGACUGAGGUACGGCACAGACUCCUACGGGAGGCAGCAGUGGGGAAGAUUGCACAAUGGGUGGAGGGCUGAUGCAGCAACGCCGUGUGCGGGAUGACGGCCUUCGGGUUGUAAACCGAUUUCGCUCAUGACGAAGCUUGGUGUGACGGUAGUGGGUAAAGAAGCACCGGCUAACUACGUG